GUGAUUAGGAUAUUAUGCAAUUGGGCCAUGAAAUGUUGUUAUAGUGAAUACUUUGUUGUCUAUAUGUUUUGGCAAAGGGAAAUUUUAGCAAGGCUUCCAAAUUGUUUGACGUUUUUAGUGAUGCAGGUGUGAGUGCAGAUUGAAAGAAGAAACUUCACAAUACCUGUAAAAUGAUUGAUUUAUCUCUUGACAAAAAAGCAAAUAUAUGUUCCUUCUUUUUGAUUAUGCCCCGUUAUAAAAUAUUUUGGGCUUUCAUUAAGCUAGGUUUUGGUUUAUAUGCAUUAAAG
This 287-nucleotide long non-coding RNA is filed under the name Vigna radiata. Its description in RNAcentral is "long non-coding RNA (VRAD_LNC008593)". Lineage: Eukaryota; Viridiplantae; Streptophyta; Magnoliopsida; Fabales; Fabaceae. The record is from RNAcentral.